This is a long non-coding RNA of Thalassophryne amazonica, 1740 nucleotides long. RefSeq lists it as uncharacterized. The record is from RefSeq and is a predicted model, not a curated record. The transcript is spliced from 2 exons. NCBI's taxonomy places the organism in Eukaryota, Metazoa, Chordata, Actinopteri, Batrachoidiformes, Batrachoididae.
AGUUUUUGAGUAAUCCUGCUAAAACCACACCAACAAAUAAACUGACACAGGCAAAAUAAAAAUAAACACAAGAUCAAAUAUAUUCUUAUGGAUGUAUUUUAAUAAAAAUACUUCUGUCAAAAUUAAACAGAUUUUUUUUAACGUUUCCAGUACAUACAUAUUUUUCAGUUAUCAUUUUUCAUAUUAUAUAUAUAUAUAUAUAUAUAUAUAUAUAUAUAUAUAUAUAUAUAUAUAUAUAUAUAUAUAUAUAAUUUCAAAGGUUUUUAAAAGUCAUGCUAAGUACAGAGUAACUCAUUUCACUUUUUUUUAAUUUUUGCUAAAACUCAAAAUGUCAAAAAUAUGAAAUUAAAAUAAUAUUAAUUCCACUUCUGUGGCCUUUGGAGAAGACGUGGGUUCGGCGUCAGAGGCUUUGGACUGUCUGUGCUCACGCUGCCAUUACUGGAGGCACAGGCGAUGCCAGUGAGACGGAAGCUCAAACAUAAAGGACAAACUGGGAGAUUUGUUCCCUACAGGGUCGGUAACGGGAAUAUGAGGUGCGUGCUGCAGAAACCCUCACCGCUUCAUUCAGUUUACUGAAGAAAAGCUUCACUCACAAUGAAACAGAAUUGCAGUCUGUCAUUUGAAAUGCUUGGCAGUUAAGAGUCUCGCAAAGAGAACAGCAAAGAGGAAAAUAAAAAUAAAAAUCUGUUUUAGGUAAAGAUAAUUUUUUUAAAAUGAUUCAAUUCAUAUAAAUAAAAAUUGGGAAUUGUAAAGCUCACACCGUCCCCAAAUGAGGUGCGUCCUAAACGAUGUGCUGUUGUUGGUGGUGAGGAUCUGAUGUACUGCAGGAAAAUGGUAGUCUUAAAAGUAUGACUGGGGGUUGGCAGCACCUCUGGACCUUGACAAACAGACUUAUUUGUGAAAACCAAAAGGGGGUAUGAUCCAGACUACAGUGGUAUAGGUUAGAGGAGUACAGUCUGGACUAGAGUGGAAGGGUCCAAAUUAGAGCGGUAUAGACGGGACUAGAGUGGAACGGUCCAAACUAGAGAGGUAUAGACUGGACUAGAGGGUACGGCCCAGACUAUGGGUGUAUACAUAGGUUAGUUUUGGCAUAGCCCAAAAUAAAUGCUGAAGUAUAAAUCAUAUUUCAGGCUAGAUCAGUAUUAGUCUGUCCUGACACACCGGGUCCACUCCCCGAAUGUCUGCACUGAAGUUAAAAGAAAUCAUUUUGGAUGUGGCCAGAGGUGUACACUCUCACAAUUGCCUUUGUCUCUAUGGAACUGUUUGUAUAUAAGAAUUGUUUUUCCAAAAAAAAAAAAAAAAAAAAAAGGAAAAAAAAAUCUUACAAAAAGACAUUCAAUUUUGACAGAACUUGGCAGGAACACCGGGCCUCUUUGGAGGAGGUUUUUGAGUUUGGUUCUGACUGGUCAAUGAUCACAGUCAGUGAUUUAGGUCAAAUUUGUAGCCCUCCGUUCACCCAGAAUAAAUGUUAAUUUUGUCGAAGUCACUUCAGAUAUUUCAUUCUUAGCAAAGUUUAAAAGCCCUUGUAACAUCUGCGGGCCUGAAAUAUUCCGAGCAUUUCUGAUCUACUUGUUCCUGCGUAACCUUCAAGGCGAUCAGAAUAACAAAACUCCUCUUUUAGGUCCAGUUAUCGACAUAAGAGACACGGAAACCUUCACACAAACAGCCGGUGCGCACGGUGAGGCCUGACAUGAUCUGCACUUAUAACUCAAAAACCACGCCUGAUAUCACAAAAGAAAA